RNAcentral lists this long non-coding RNA (445 nucleotides) under Chinchilla lanigera (long-tailed chinchilla). RNAcentral's name for it is "lncRNA (ENSCLAG00000022609.1)". Lineage: Eukaryota; Metazoa; Chordata; Mammalia; Rodentia; Chinchillidae. The record is from RNAcentral.
UUUUGGGUCACGGCAUGCUUCACCACAACUAAGAUGAACUGGGCCUUUUCACACCUUCAAAGAUCUGUGGAACCCGGGGCUGGGGAUUUAGCUCAGUGGCACAGCGCCUGCCUGGCAAGUGCAAGGUCAUGAGUUCGAUUCCCGGUACCAGAAAACAAAACAAAACAAAGAUCUGUGGAACCCGAGUGGUCACUGAGCUGUUUCACCCACAGAAGGCUUGCAAGAUGCCCAGUAAUGAAGGGUGACACAGCUCCGUUUCCUGAAGUAGAUACCCAGAAGAGCUGACCCAUUGGUGGGCACAGACCUCUGACUUUGUGAAGAUGCAUAAAAUGAGCCAGAAUCUUCUUACUGUCAUUUUGAGGCCAUGAGGAAGGUGAGUAAAGAGGGGAAACUAUGACAAGAAAAAAACACAGGAAAGCAGAAGCAAGGUAGAGACAGAGGAGAU